Long non-coding RNA from Chiloscyllium plagiosum (whitespotted bambooshark), 331 nucleotides. RefSeq lists it as uncharacterized. The record is from RefSeq and is a predicted model, not a curated record. NCBI's taxonomy places the organism in Eukaryota, Metazoa, Chordata, Chondrichthyes, Orectolobiformes, Hemiscylliidae.
AUGGCAGGUGCUGAGGGUAACCUACUGAAGAAUUCAAAGUUACUGAGUCUCUGAAAAGGAGGAUUUAUCAGAUACGGAGAUUGAAACUGUACACCUUAUUCCAGAUGUGGUUUCGCCAAGAUUGGAGUAAAACAUUCCUACAGGUUAGUGUGAAUCUACAUGUAAUUUUAUAAAAUGUGCAAAAGGCAGCCAACAGGGUGAAACAGGAUGGAACAGGACAGGAAGAAAUUGUGAGAACAAGCUGUCUGAAACAAUAAUCAUUGAUGUUGGCAACCACGAAAGGAUCAAUACCAUAGAUAUAUGAUUGAUGUUGGAAAGAAUGACCAGAAAG